Molecule: long non-coding RNA, 685 nt
Filed under: Olea europaea subsp. europaea
Lineage: Eukaryota; Viridiplantae; Streptophyta; Magnoliopsida; Lamiales; Oleaceae
Source: RNAcentral
CCGCAGAGUCUAUAGAUUGGGACCGUUUCUGCAAAUAAACCUAAAUAAUCAACCACCGAGGUUUUCUCCGCAGAAUCCAUCCGUCAGUCACUACAUCAGUACAUUUAUUAGUUUUUUCAAUCUUUAUCAGCAGAACUGGGGUAAAGCAGUCAACUCGUCCUUACCCACAUGGAUUUGCAGUUUUGCUGAUCGAACAAAGAGAUACACACUCCAUCGAAUUAGUGUUCUUGAGUUUUGGAUUCUUGUUCACUGUAAUUUUUGCCCUGUUCUACGGUCGGAUCCCACAGCUAGAAAGCGGUAUACUAGUUCGAACAUACAGUAUAAAGGUGGCCCUAGAUGCCCUGGUCAAAAUUUGAUGUCGGACAGCUGUCAAGGUAUACUAGUAAUAUCGUAGGGUUUGAUUCUAUGUAAGAGAUGGUAUUUGUGGGAUGUCAAUGUACCUUGGUUUUUGGUUUUUAGUUUUUUUUGACAUCUGGGUUUGAAUAUAUUUCACGAAUACAGGAAGAUGAAAACUAAUAAAUCUGUUUUUUAUUGGUGUUUUAGAGUUUGGUGGUUAUGCUUGAAAUUUUAUUUUUUUUCAUUUUAUUAUUAUUAUUUUUACGAUUUUAGCUUCGAAGUUUUUAUGUGGUCAUUGAUUCCUUUGAAACUUCAAAAUUUUUGAUUACUAUUUUAGUAAAAGUUGGAG